This 349-nucleotide RNase P RNA is filed under the name Paludibacteraceae bacterium. RNAcentral describes it as "RNase P RNA component class A". It matches the Rfam family "Bacterial RNase P class A". Rfam says of the family: Ribonuclease P (RNase P) is a ubiquitous endoribonuclease, found in archaea, bacteria and eukarya as well as chloroplasts and mitochondria. Its best characterised activity is the generation of mature 5'-ends of tRNAs by cleaving the 5'-leader elements of precursor-tRNAs. The record is from RNAcentral. Lineage: Bacteria; Pseudomonadati; Bacteroidota; Bacteroidia; Bacteroidales; Paludibacteraceae.
AUAGCAAAUCGGUUGGUCGCUAAUGGCCGGAAGAAAGCAAUCCGUUGCUUAAUCCCGCCGUUAGAGGAAAGUCCGGGCAGCACAGAGCACCACAGCGGUUAACGGCCGUCAGGUUGAAGACGUAAGUCUGAAGAUUUGGUCCCUGCUACAGAGACGAGUAAUGUGAAACGAGCACACUGUGGGCUGCAAUUCCAUGUAAACCGACGGUAGAGCGUGGCUCGCGCCAAUUAACGCAAGUUAAGCGUCGGAGGGUAGGAAGCGAUAGAAGUACGUGGUAACACGUGUCUCAAGAUUAAUGACCGACACUCAGCAAUGAGUACAGAACCCGGCUUAUAGAUUUGCUAUCUUA